RNAcentral lists this ribosomal RNA (426 nucleotides) under uncultured Rummeliibacillus sp. Its description in RNAcentral is "bacterial SSU rRNA". It matches the Rfam family "Bacterial small subunit ribosomal RNA", at positions 356 to 774 of the family's 1533-position model. The record is from RNAcentral. Lineage: Bacteria; Bacillati; Bacillota; Bacilli; Caryophanales; Caryophanaceae.
AGGGAAUCUUCCACAAGGGCGGAAAGUCGAUUGGAGCAACGCCGCGUGAGUGAUAAAGGUUUUGGGAUCGUAAAACCUGGUUGUAAGGAAAGAACCAUUACUUCAGGCAAUGGAGUUACUUUGACGGUACCUUAUUAAAAACCACCGGUUAAUUCCGUGCCAGCAGCCGCGGUAAUACGUAGGUGGCAAGCGUUGUCCGGAAUUAUUGGGCGUAAAGCGCGCGCAGGUGGUUUCUUAAGUCUGAUGUGAAGGCCCACGGCUUAACCGUGGAGGGUCAUUGGAAACUGGGAGACUUGAGUGCAGAAGAGGAAAGUGGAAUUCCAAGUGUAGCGGUGAAAUGCGUAGAGAUUUGGAGGAACACCAGUGGCGAAGGCGACUUUCUGGUCUGCAACUGACGCUGAGGCGCGAAAGCAUGGGGAGCAAACA